This is a long non-coding RNA of Zerene cesonia (dogface butterfly), 1306 nucleotides long. RefSeq lists it as uncharacterized. The transcript is spliced from 2 exons. The record is from RefSeq and is a predicted model, not a curated record. Lineage: Eukaryota; Metazoa; Arthropoda; Insecta; Lepidoptera; Pieridae.
UCGGAAGGCGAUUGCCAGAGCAAGAUGAAGUUCGUAUGUUUAAUAUUAAUUAUGUUUAUAUUGAGUGCGUAUUGCAGGACUAUCACGGAUAAAAGUGAGGUUUUUAAUAAAAAUAGCGUCAGUUCAAGGACGAAACGAACUGUCAUAUAUAAUUACAACUGUCCUAUAGGAUAUGUAAAAGUGUCCCCGCGAGUUAUGAUAUGUGUGCCGUGUAAACAGCUCAAAGGGAGUCCGUGUUAAAAUAUUGCUCAGAGAAGAGGAAACAUCCAUGCAGAACUGAAAACUGUAUUAUCUAUUAUAUUUAUACUUUAAUAUAAUAGAGAUGGCUGUUCAGAUACAGAAGAUAGGCUUUUCAAAUAAAGCAGGGGUUUAUUUAUAGCUUAUACAUUCAAGUAGUCAGCUAAUGUGAGAGCAGAUUUGACAAUCUUCGGUUUUUAACAAGAAGAUAAUGAAUUGCUAUCCAUCUCUUUCUUUUGUUUUGAAUGAUAUGAGAUAGCAUGUGUGUGCUUCCAUUAAUUUUUUUUUCUAUAUUUAGUAAGAACAUGGAAAGAAAACGUCAUUGUUAACGCUAUUAAGUUAUUAUAUUGUUCUUAACUAUUUAUUUACUGCAAUGUUUAGUUUAGUUUAAAAGUGAAGUUUUUUGGUCUGUGUAUCGCAUGUCGCGUGACGGUCAGGCGAGAAGUAUGGAUAAAGGGAAAGGCUCUCGUCAGAGCAAUAUGGCGGCGUCUAUAGUUCUAUUAGCUAAAUAUAAAUAUCUAUAAUGUGAAAAAAGUUUCACUUUUACCGUGGUUUCAUAAAACCCCACAAUCCUUCUUUUAAAUACUAUCAUAUAUAGAGAAAAACUGGUCAUAUUACAGAAAAAGGCAUAAAUUUACAGUCAAUGAAUUGAAAUGUAUUAAGCGUAAGAAUAUGACAAAUAUUAAGUAAUUAAUACUUGUUAAAUAUUCAGUACAUUGCAAUAUGAAUCCAAAUACAGAUAAAAUAAUAUCUGAUAUCAUAAAACAUGUUAUAUAGAAAUGUAAAAAUACUUUUAUUUAUAAGCGACUCUUUGCUCAGUGAACAUGUGAUUUUGUUAGUUAUCUAGGUAAUUUCUAGUAGCUUAAAGGAAUUUUUAUAAAAAUGUUUUUGAUGGUAGAUAAAUUUGUAACCAAAGAAAUAGGUGAAACAUCAAAUUUCUCUGUUAAAAUUCUAUCGUCAAGUAACUUCUUAAUGUUUCUAUAUUUUGAUUGUACAAUAAAAAUACUAAAUUGAAAAUUGUAACUGUGUUAGAUCUAAAACUGAACGAAAAUAUACUUUUUGUAUAAUG